AGCAGCAGAUUGGGCGUAAAGUGUGCGCAGGCGGUUUUGUAAGACAGGCGUGAAAUCCCCGGGCUCAACCUGGGAAUUGCGCUUGUGACUGCAAGGCUGGAGUGCGGCAGAGGGGGAUGGAAUUCCGCGUGUAGCAGUGAAAUGCGUAGAUAUGCGGAGGAACACCGAUGGCGAAGGCAAUCCCCUGGGCCUGCACUGACGCUCAUGCACGAAAGCGUGGGGAGCAAACAGGAUUAGAUACCCUGGUAGUCCACGCCCUAAACGAUGUCAACUGGUUGUUGGGUCUCUUCUGACUCAGUAACGAAGCUAACGCGUGAAGUUGACCGCCUGGGGAGUACGGCCGCAAGGUUGAAACUCAAAAAAUUGACG
Molecule: ribosomal RNA, 369 nt
Filed under: uncultured Hydrogenophaga sp.
Lineage: Bacteria; Pseudomonadati; Pseudomonadota; Betaproteobacteria; Burkholderiales; Comamonadaceae
Description: bacterial SSU rRNA
Rfam family: Bacterial small subunit ribosomal RNA
Source: RNAcentral